This 286-nucleotide ribosomal RNA is filed under the name Staphylococcus aureus. RNAcentral's name for it is "partial 16S ribosomal RNA". It matches the Rfam family "Bacterial small subunit ribosomal RNA", at positions 993 to 1278 of the family's 1533-position model. Lineage: Bacteria; Bacillati; Bacillota; Bacilli; Caryophanales; Staphylococcaceae. The record is from RNAcentral.
GACAACUCUAGAGAUAGAGCUUUCCCCUUCGGGGGACAAAGUGACAGGUGGUGCAUGGUUGUCGUCAGCUCGUGUCGUGAGAUGUUGGGUUAAGUCCCGCAACGAGCGCAACCCUUAAGCUUAGUUGCCAUCAUUAAGUUGGGCACUCUAAGUUGACUGCCGGUGACAAACCGGAGGAAGGUGGGGAUGACGUCAAAUCAUCAUGCCCCUUAUGAUUUGGGCUACACACGUGCUACAAUGGACAAUACAAAGGGCAGCGAAACCGUGAGGUCAAGCAAAUCCCAUA